AUCAUGGAGAGUUCGAUCCUGGCUCAGAACGAACGCUGGCGGCGCGUCUUAAGCAUGCAAGUCGAGCGGGAACAGAUAGCUUGCUAUCUGCGAGAGCGGCGGACUGGUGAGUAACACGUGGGUGACGCACCCUUCGGACGGGGAUAGCCUGUAGAAAUACAGGAUAAUACCGGAUACGAAUCCACAGGUUGGAGAUGUGGAUGGAAAGCCCCUACGGGGGCGCCGGAGGAGCGGCCCGCGGCCCAUCAGCUGGUAGGUGAGGUAAAGGCCCACCUAGGCAAUGACGGGUAUCCGGCCUCAGAGGGUGGACGGACACAUUGGGACUGAGAUACGGCCCAGACUCCUACGGGAGGCAGCAGCUAAGAAUAUUCCGCAAUGGGGGAAACCCUGACGGAGCGACGCCGCGUGGACGAUGAAGGCCGGAAGGUUGUAAAGUCCUUUUGCGGGUGAGGAAUAAGGGCCAGAGGGAAUGCCGGUACGAUGACUGUAACCUGCGAAUAAGCAACGGCUAAUUACGUGCCAGCAGCCGCGGUAACACGUAAGUUGCGAGCGUUGUUCGGAAUCAUUGGGCGUAAAGGGCAUGUAGGCGGUUACGCAAGCCUGGUGUGAAAGCCCGAGGCUUAACCUCGGGAUGCGCCGGGAACUGUGCAACUAGAGUAGCUGAGGGGCAGCCGGAAUUCCAGGUGUAGGGGUGAAAUCUGUAGAUAUCUGGAAGAACACCGAUGGCGAAGGCAGGCUGCCAGCAGAUUACUGACGCUGAGGUGCGAAGGUGCGGGGAGCGAACAGGAUUAGAUACCCUGGUAGUCCGCACAGUAAACGAUGCACACUGGGUGUCCGCCCAUGAGGGUGGGUGCCGAAGCAAACGCGAUAAGUGUGCCGCCUGGGGAGUAUGCCCGCAAGGGUGAAACUCAAAGGAAUUGACGGGGGCCCGCACAAGCGGUGGAGCAUGUGGUUUAAUUCGAUGGUACGCGAGGAACCUUACCUGGGUUUGACAUGCACGGUGAUACCGGGGAGAUCCGGGGGUCCAGCAAUGGAACCGUGCACAGGUGCUGCAUGGCUGUCGUCAGCUCGUGCCGUGAGGUGUUGGGUUAAGUCCCGCAACGAGCGCAACCCCUACCGUCGGUUACCAGCAAGUAAAGUUGGGGACUCCGGCGGAACUGCCGGCGACAAGCCGGAGGAAGGUGGGGACGACGUCAAGUCAUCAUGGCCCUUAUGCCCAGGGCUACACACGUGCUACAAUGGCCGGUACAGAGCGAAGCGAGACCGCGAGGUGGAGCGAAGCGCAGAAAACCGGCCGUAGUCCGGAUUGGAGUCUGAAACCCGACUCCAUGAAGUUGGAAUCGCUAGUAAUCGCGCAUCAGCACGGCGCGGUGAAUACGUUCCCGGGCCUUGUACACACCGCCCGUCACACCAUCCGAGUCGGGGAUACCCGAAGUCGGCAGGCUAACCGGAAACGGGGGCCGCUGCCGAAGGUAUGCCCGGCGAGGGGGGUGAAGUCGUAACAAGGUAGCCGUACCGGAAGGUGCGGCUGGAUCACCUCCUUU
RNAcentral lists this ribosomal RNA (1544 nucleotides) under Treponema peruense. RNAcentral describes it as "Bacterial small subunit ribosomal RNA". It matches the Rfam family "Bacterial small subunit ribosomal RNA". Lineage: Bacteria; Pseudomonadati; Spirochaetota; Spirochaetia; Treponematales; Treponemataceae. The record is from Rfam by way of RNAcentral.